AUUGAACGCUGGCGGCAUGCUUUACACAUGCAAGUCGAACGGUAACAGGUUAAGCUGACGAGUGGCGAACGGGUGAGUAAUGCAUCGGAACGUGCCCGAUCGUGGGGGAUAACGCAGCGAAAGCUGCGCUAAUACCGCAUACGAUCUGAGGAUGAAAGCGGGGGACCGUAAGGCCUCGCGCGAUCGGAGCGGCCGAUGUCAGAUUAGGUAGGUGGGGGGGUAAAGGCUCACAAAGCCAACGAUCUGUAGCUGGUCUGAGAGGACGACCAGCCACACUGGGACUGAGACACGGCCCAGACUCCUACGGGAGGCAGCAGUGGGGAAUUUUGGACAAUGGGCGAAAGCCUGAUCCAGCAAUGCCGCGUGCAGGAAGAAGGCCUUCGGGUUGUAAACUGCUUUUGUACGGAGCGAAAAGGCCCUCUCUAAUACAGUGGGCUCAUGACGGUACCGUAAGAAUAAGCACCGGCUAACUACGUGCCAGCCGCCGCAGUAA
Molecule: ribosomal RNA, 493 nt
Filed under: uncultured bacterium
Lineage: Bacteria
Description: partial 16S ribosomal RNA
Rfam family: Bacterial small subunit ribosomal RNA
Source: RNAcentral